Molecule: small nuclear RNA, 160 nt
Organism: Colobus angolensis palliatus
Lineage: Eukaryota; Metazoa; Chordata; Mammalia; Primates; Cercopithecidae
Gene: U1
Rfam family: U1 spliceosomal RNA
About the family: U1 is a small nuclear RNA (snRNA) component of the spliceosome (involved in pre-mRNA splicing). Its 5' end forms complementary base pairs with the 5' splice junction, thus defining the 5' donor site of an intron.
Source: Ensembl
AUACUUUCCUGGCAGGGGAGAUACCAUUAUCCUGAAGGUGGUUUUCUCAGGGUGAGGCUCAUCCAUUGCACUCCGAAUGUGCUGACUCCUGUGAUUUCCCCAAAUGUGGGAAACUCGACUGCGUAAUUUGUGGUAGUGGGGGACUGUGUUCGUGCUCUAG